RNAcentral lists this ribosomal RNA (301 nucleotides) under uncultured bacterium. RNAcentral's name for it is "partial 16S ribosomal RNA". It matches the Rfam family "Bacterial small subunit ribosomal RNA", at positions 509 to 809 of the family's 1533-position model. The record is from RNAcentral.
CAGUCGCCGCGGGAAUACGAAGGGGGCUAGCGUUGCUCGGAAUGACUGGGCGUAAAGGGCGCGUAGGCGGCUUGUACAGUCAAAUGUGAAAUUCCUGGGCUUAACCUGGGGGCUGCAUUUGAUACGUGCGGGCUAGAAUGUGAAAGAGGGUCGUGGAAUUCCCAGUGUAGAGGUGAAAUUCGUAGAUAUUGGGAAGAACACCGGUGGCGAAAGCGGCUCACUGGACCAUAACUGACGCUGAGGCACGAAAGCUAGGGGAGCAAACAGGAUUAGAUACCCCGGUAGUCCUGUCUCUUAUACA